Molecule: ribosomal RNA, 465 nt
Filed under: uncultured bacterium
Lineage: Bacteria
Description: bacterial SSU rRNA
Rfam family: Bacterial small subunit ribosomal RNA
Source: RNAcentral
UAGUCCACGCCCUAAACGAUGUUCACUGGAUGUAUGGAUUUAUUUUGUGCAUCUGAGCGAAAGCAUUAAGUGAACCACCUGGGGAGUACGUCGGCAACGAUGAAACUCAAAGGAAUUGACGGGGGCCCGCACAAGCGGUGGAGCAUGUGGUUUAAUUCGAUGAUACGCGAGGAACCUUACCAGGGCUUAAAUGCAUAUUGACAGGUCUAGAGAUAGAUUUUCCUUCGGGCAAUUUGCAAGGUGCUGCAUGGUUGUCGUCAGCUCGUGCCGUGAGGUGUCAGGUUAAGUCCUAUAACGAGCGCAACCCCUACCGUUAGUUGCCAGCGAGUCAUGUCGGGGACUCUAACGGGACUGCCGGUGCAAACCGCGAGGAAGGUGGGGACGACGUCAAAUCAUCACGGGCCCUUACGUCCUGGGGCCACACACGUGCUACAAUGGCCGGUACAGAGAGCAGCCACGCCGCAA